This is a non-coding RNA of Phasianus colchicus (ring-necked pheasant), 6868 nucleotides long. The record is from RefSeq and is a predicted model, not a curated record. NCBI's taxonomy places the organism in Eukaryota, Metazoa, Chordata, Aves, Galliformes, Phasianidae.
AGCAGCGCCUGCCAGCAGCGCGACGUGCCGCUGCCCGAGUUGAGAAAUACACUUGCCGCCGCUUUCUUUGCCUGCGCUGCAUUUUUCGUUAUUACAGGAACACCGCACCCCUCAGCGCCGAGGACUCACGACUUAACUGCACGUGCGCAACACACGCAAACGAAGCAUUUACCAAUUACCGAAUUCGAAGCGUUAGAACGCCGGAAGCUCCGCCCGGCCGCGUUCCCACAGCCAACGUGGCUCCUCGACGGCUUCACCCGCUCUUCAGCGCCUCCCCGCCGCUCGGGGCUCGCCGUGCCCUUUCUCAAAAUGGCGGCCGCCAGCUUCACCCCGCAGCCGCGCUGCCCGGGUGACGGCUGGGUCGCGCGGUCACGUGGCGGGCGGCGGGCCGUGAUGGCGGCGCGGUGCCGGGCGGCGCGCCAGAUGGUACUGAGCCCUCCAGUAUGCCUAUGAAAAUGGUGAGAGUGACUUCUAAGGCUGUGAGUGGUGGCUGAUGAGAGAAGCUAAAGAGAGGAACCUCAAAAUUGAACUGACUGAUAUGGAAUGAAAGGGCAUUUGAUAGCAAAUGGAUCAAGGUAUGUCUGUUUUCCUUCUUAAAAGUGAAAUGUGCUUCUGAAGUUCCUUUGUUAUUACAUGUGCUUUGCUUGUCUGAUUUUCUCCAGAGAAGAGACCUUCAUCCUAUGACUGCUUCACUUCCUGACCUCUUGUGGUUGGCUGCAGGCAUGAAGCACUAACAGGAACACAGGAUCAGAUCCUUAGAUGUUUUUUUUUAUUAUUAUUAUUAUCUGAAACUUUUAUUUUCAGCCUCAUAAGUGUAUGCUGAAUAGGAAGCACAAAUUCAUCUUCUUACUGGCUGGCAAAUAGCUGAUUUUAUAAGUCAGAGAUCCAGAAUUCCUUCAGAUUCUCAGGUGACGUUCCAACAGAUACGAUGCCUUUAAAUUAUUGGUAUACAGCUCCAGGUUUUUAUUACAUGUUCUGAUUUGCCUUUUCCAUAAAGUAAGAGCUCUGUAUUUUAACAUCAUAAAGUUAAUCUGCCUGUAUGUUUCUUAGGGUCUCUCUCAGGUUGUUAGUCUUCAGUUAUGAAGAAUAGGUGUAAGGAUUUUGUUAUCUGGGGUAUCUGUGCAACUUCUUUCUGAGAAUCCAGUCUAAAAUGUGCUGCAGUCUUUUGAUAUGUUUACUGUCUUCUGUACAUUUUCUUGCCAAACUGAAAUCUGGAAGGAAGUUGUUGAGAAGUCAUGUAAAUCAUCUUAAGAUAGACUAGAAGACUUUGUUUCCAGUGAAACAAUGACUGCUCUAAAAAAAAGCCUUAUUAAAGAAAGGGAAGACACCACUAUCUUAAGCAAAAUCAUUUCAAAACUUACAGCUUUUAUGUAACUUCAUUUUGUAUAAAUAAAGAUAAAUGCAUGGUCUGAAAUAAUUGAAAGAGAGCACAGCAGAAAGCAUCCGCAUGCUUGUAAAAGGAAAUUUGAGUUGACUCUUGUCUCCUGCAAAUUUAAAGGUUUAACAAACUUGCUACGUAACUUCUUGGCUCUCAUAUGCUUUAGUAUCUUAUUUGGAGGUUGGUCCUACUCCUGUUGUUUUCUUCCUUUUACAAGCCCUUUACGAUAACACAAGCCCCACUGGUUUAGCAUUCCAGCAGCUCGAUCUUGUAUUCAGAAAUUAUUAUAGAACAGAUCCAAAUCUGUAAAUGCAAUAUUGCUUUUAUCUUGGCUUUUGUAUUGUAAAUCAAUUCUUCCUGAUGAAGGGAGGCUUACCUUUCUGCUCAUUUCAAAGGGAAAGACAGAACAGUUGCAAGGAGGAUAGGUGACAGGACAGGGCAGGAGCACAGGGACCUUCAAGGCAUUCCUGAGCACAGCCCACUUCUCGCCAUGUCACUCCAGCGUGCCUACAGUAGCCGGUGAAUCUUCCUCUCCUCUUUCCCUCCCUUUGCCAACUUUGAUUCUCGGUCCAAUGAGACAGAGGUGAGACCCCUCCAGCAGGCCAAGGUUGGCAGGCAGGUGUGAGGAGGAGAAGAACAAGGUGGAGUUCAUACAUCCACGUGAGUAAUUGGUGGGAAGCACUGGGGACAGCAGUCAUACUUUAUUCAAUCUGGCACUCAACUUUUUGGGCAGCUCCUUUUGUGAAACCCCCUUUCCCAGCAUGGAGUUCAGCUCCAGCUAAAGGGAUCAACGGAAUCCAGGAAUGGUUGGGUGUGGAGGGAUCUCAAAGCCCUCACAGGCCCAGCCUCUGCUGUGGGCUGGUUGCCACCCACUAGAUCAGGCUGCCCACAGCCCCAUCCAGCCUGGCCUUGAGCACCUCCAAGGAUGGGGCAGCCGCAGCUUCCCUGGGCAGCCUGUACCAGUGCUGACCUCUCCCAGCCUGCUGGGAUGGGUGACAAGAGGCUGCAGCGCUGGCAGGAGGAACCCACGUUUCCCCAGAUGGUGUCAGGGAAACAGGCAGGAUGGAUGGUUCCUUGCAUGUGACAGUCCUGCAAAGGAUCCUGCCCCUGCUGCUCUGUUCUUCCUUCCCUGUGGGGAAGAUCCCAGAGCUCCUGCUGGAGCAGCAGAAGCUCCCAGGACAAGUACCAGCAGAUUCUCUCUUUGCAGGCUCUGCUCCACUUCUUCCACUCCCAGCACGUGCACAUUCAUAUGAGAGCCCUGUAUGGUAUUCUAUGGAUGUUUGUGGAUUUUAUGGAAAAAGGAGCCAGACACUCAUCAGACAGGCUGUCUCCCAUUCUCCACAUCCCAGAGCAGCUCAGGGGUGCCUGCAGCUGGGAGCUCUCAGCAGGGCUCUGUCCUGAACAAGGUCUUUGCCCUGUCUUCAUCCCCACUCUUCCCUCUCAAGGCCCUGCUAUGCCUCCACUCCACUCUGCCUUCCUCUCUUCUUCUGUCACUCGGGACUGGUACCAUGCUGAAAAUUGCGAGUUUAUAUAUGAGUCAGUCAUCAAGAUCUACUUCCCAAUCCUGGGAGAGCUGCUGGGUCACCUCUGCCUUUUCAGCUGUGGCCUUGAUACCACCAGAAUUCCAGCUAUAGAUGUGCUUUGUCAUGUCCAUGCAUUUGUCAGACACAAAAGAGGUAAGAGAAGAUGGAUCAGGCAGCAUCUCUCUGCUCCUCUGUCUGCUCAUGUCUCCUGUUCUUAUGCUUCUUGUGCUUCGUGAAGCCUGACCAUGGAGUCUGCAAGUUUCCUGAGCUCCUUUACUCUUCAGAGCUUCAUCCUUCCUAAGCUCCCUCUUGUUCCCAGCACCCACUGCCUUUAGCUGUAUAAUCCCUUUCCUUCACUCUCCUCAAUGUGGGUCCCAUCAACCUAGGUCUCCUGCGCCAUGGGUCUCCUACACCAUGGGUCUCCUACACAAUGGGUGCCGUUUUCAGUUUAAACCAGCUUUUCCCCAGUUGCUGAGUUUGAUGACAAGGACAUUUCCUUCUGAUUCUUCUGUUUCCUCCCUUUUAGAGACAGCCCUGACAGAAGUGAUAGAAAAGUAUGUGCAUCUCUGUGAGAAGCUGCAUGUGAGAAUUUUGCAUGUGAUAACUUAUCCAGUCCCAGUGACUGUGCCAAGGCGAUGUCCUGCCUUGCUGAGGAUCUUGUUCACAGCAUCAGCAGGAAAUGUUUGUGAGCAAGGGGAGUGUCAUGGCAGCAGAUCCAGCCCUCCUAGCUGUCAGCAAACCCUUCUUACCAACUGCCCAUGUCCUCGUCCACAGUCCUUCUUCCAGAGCCCUCUCUUGCCGUCCUGUACCACGCAGUGACAGAAGCUGAUGCUUCCAGCUUUCCUACAGACUGCUGCCAGCAUCUCUCUGCAGAGCUGCUCUCCCUGCUUGACCAGGAAGCACUAUUGGGAUGGUCAGUGUGACAUGUCUUCUCUCCCCUGCUUUCACCCACAGGCAUUUGGAGGAUACCUCAGGCCUGCUGAGAGGAUGGACAUCGUCCUCACAGCCCUUGAACUGAUGGCUGACUCCAGCAUCUAUGCCAGGGAGUCAGCCUGCAGUGCGAUGGCCGUGGCCAUGGAAGACUACCCCUUCUGGAUACCAGAUAAAACCUCCAUCCACAAGAACUUGAGGAGCAUCGCCGCAAAGGCAGUGCAGCACUGCCUGAACUCCGUGCUCCUCCGUCUGACCAGCCAGAUGGCCACGGAAGUAGUCAGGAACCUGCUGAAGUCCUCUGCACCUAGCGACAGCAACACCCUAGACAUGUGGGAGGUGAUGCUCUGCAUGCCACGGACUUUGGAGAAGGUUUCGAAGAAGGUGACCAAGGGUUCACAGCUGAGCAGGCUGGUAGGAGUCACAGAAGACACGUGCAUCCUCUUCUUGGUGCUAAUGGCAAAGAGCAAAGAUAGUGAAGACUCUUGGUGACCUACGCCACCUCAAGACUUUUCUGAAGCAUCCAAGCGUGGAGAUGCACAGGGUGGUGCUCAGAGAGCUUGUCAUACUCUCUGAGACAUGAGAGAAGGUGAGUGGGGCGUUGUCAACAGAAGUGGCACUGGGCUUCUUGGGCAGCAAUGGGAGGAGCAGCUAAAGCCCAGCUUUUACUAUGGGCUAGUUGUCAUCUACCAGAUCAGGUUGCCCAUGGCCCCAUCCAUCCUGGCCUUGAGCACCUCCAGGGAUGGGGUACCUACAGCUUCUCUGGGCAGCCUGGUCACCACUCUCUGAGAAAAGAAUUUUCCCAUUGGCCUCUCUGAGUGCUCCUAUGACCGCUUCUGCUGUGAUUGCUAUGCCAGCUGCCAGGAAGUGAAGCAGGACGCUGGAGCUCAGAGACAGGAGUGUUUUGCCCAGGCAGUCAUUCCCCACAUCAGACAAAGGUACUUGCGUUUCCUACAGGCAAGAAAAAUGCAGGUCUUGCUGCCAGAGAUCAUGGCCGCCCUGCAGGAUGCCAGCUCAUACAUCAAGAUGAAGACCCUGUUUGUCAUUCAAAACAUCAUGGGCUGCAUGAAAAGGAGACCAGCUCCAUUGCUGUGCAGCACGCUGAGGAGCUCCUGCCUCUCUUUAUGGAUAUAAGUGAGGCUGCUGUAGGAGGCAGAGCCCUUGCAGUGGCACUCUGCAGUGCCACUGCCUCUGGCCCAGCUGUGCGGGCAGCACUCUCAUUGGGCCCUCUCCCCUCUUUGCUCCUCCUGGGGCUCCUUCUGGGCAGGGGGACAGCUGUGAGCCCUCAGAGAACCCUGCCCAGCAUGUGCUCCCUGCAGUUGGCUUCCAGCCCUCCAAUCCUCCUCUGCUGCCUGUGCAAAGCCAGGCCAGGCCUGGUCCCCGCGCAUGGUGCAGGAAGGCCUGCAGGCGCUGCGUGCCAUGGAGGCAAUGUGAAGGCAGCCCAGCCUCCUCGUGCUAAAAUUCUCUUUCUCCCUCCCAGGAGUUGAGCGCUGAGCGGGUGUCCUCCAUCCAUCUUUACAGAGACAUGGUGUAGGCCAUGGUCUGGUGCCACCAGAGGAGAAUGCCUGGCCUGGUCCCACUGCUCCUUUGGAUGAGUGAUGAGAACCAGGACCUGGCCCAGAGUGCUGGGAAAAGGCUCCUGGCCCUGCCAAGAGGAGGGCAAUCCCAGGUCUCCUUCCUUGGGCCAUGGUGCCAUCUCCCAGCUUCUGCUUCUCUGCGGGCUGCUGGGAGAGCCAUUGUACAAACAGCCAAUCUCCUGCACUGGAACGACUUCCGGGAGCUGGUUGAAAAACAGGAGAUGUGGAGGAUUGCGGAGUGCUAGCUGCAGUGGGACCAGAGUAGGGCAGAGGAAUACCUGCAGCAGAGCCAGCCCUUCCUGUAGGACCCUCAGGUGGCCUUGUGAGAGGAGGCUGUGAGGUUCAUUGGUGUGCCACAGCCCCUUUGUUCUUCUCUUGGCGGUGUUUGGCUGUCCCAGCCACUGCCCUCUGACACUAGGAGCCCCUUGAGCGGAUCCCAGUGCCCUGGUGCCUUGCUCAGGCCCUCCUCGGCCACUCUCGCUGCUGGGGAGCAAUGCAGUUCUGCUGCUGGGAGCAGGAUCUCACAGGUGCUCUGUGCCUAGGGCUUGCUGCGCGCUACUCAAGGGACCUGAGUGAGAAGAAGCUACAGGAUAUCAUCAGGGGUGAGGGCUGUGGUGUUUGUACUGAAGCCUGGGGCAGAGAUCCCCAUGCCUUGUUCUCCUCCAAGGAAAUUCUUGGGGCUGAGGGACAAUACAGAACCAUAGAAUCCUAGGAAGGUUUGCUUUCAAGCAACCUUAUGAAUCACAGCACCAUGGAAUCCUAGUGAUUAGGUGGGAAGGGACCUGAAAGAUCGUGCAGCCAUGAUAUCCCAGGGUGGUCGAAUGGUUAUGUUGGAAUGGAUGUUAAAGGCCACCCAGUUCUAAGCCCUUGCUGUGUCCAGGAUGCCCCCCAGUGGAUCAGAUUGCCCAGGGCCCCAUCCAACCUGGUCUUGAGCAGCUCCGGGGAUGGGGAACCCACGUUUUCUGGGUUGCCUGUGUCAGGGUCUCUCUGCCCUCUGAGGGAAGAACUUUCUCCUAAGUCAGAGUCAAGGGGAAAAAGCAGCAAGGCUGAUAUUGUGGUGGGAACCUAACCUGGCAGCUCAGACCACAUUGAUCCUUGGGACAACCAUGAGGACAGUGACAUCACGACAGAGCCUGCGAGCACUGUGUUGUCUGUUCUGCUGAGCUGCAGCACUCCUCUGACAGCUCUGUCCCUCAGAGGAGCACAGCAAACCCAGUGCCCUGCUGCCCUUCACACUGGGACAUCCCUGUGCAUGCUCAGCAGGCGCCGCCAUUCCUGGCCUCUGCUGCUGGCUGCAGGACAGCACAGUGCAUCCCUCUGCACUCCCAAGGCAUGGCUGACCAAGCUGUUGGCUUGGCUGAGUGAAGAUGUCUCAGGCCACAUAUACGUACCUUGAUUUAAUGUAUGGAAGUAACAAACCUUCUUUUUGUAUAUCCAUGUAUUUAAUAAAAUAUUUUUAA